UAGCAUAGAUCCGAAAGAUGAUGAACUAUACUUGAGCAGGAUGAAGCCAGAGGAAAUUCUGGUGGAAAUCCGAAAUAAUUUUGACGUAUAAAACGAUCGUCUAACUUUGGUAUACAGGCGAAAGACUAAUCGAACAAUCUUAGUAGUUGAUUCCUUUUGAAUUUUCCCUCAGAAUAGCUGGAAUAUGUAAUGAAGCUGUUAUAUUCGAUAAAGUGUUUGAUUGGAGGAAUAGUGGGACGAAAAAUUUUCAGUCUGUCCCCAAACUUUCAAAUGAAUAUGAUAUUUCGUUUGCUUGAAUGA
RNAcentral lists this non-coding RNA (300 nucleotides) under Onchocerca ochengi. Its description in RNAcentral is "Eukaryotic large subunit ribosomal RNA". It matches the Rfam family "Eukaryotic large subunit ribosomal RNA", at positions 806 to 1098 of the family's 3401-position model. Lineage: Eukaryota; Metazoa; Nematoda; Chromadorea; Rhabditida; Onchocercidae. The record is from Rfam by way of RNAcentral.